UCAAAUUACCCUUAAAUUUCCAAGCUCAAACACUUAAGAACUUACCAUUUGAGCUUAGAACAUAUCAUGGCCACAUCUUAUCUUAUUAAAUCAACUCAUCAUGUCCUAUUAUAAUUGAAUUUACUCAACGUUUAAACACUUAAAACUUACCUCGGAUGUUGUCGAACGAUUUCGAUGGCUAUUCGACCACUUUUUCCUUCCCUUUAUCGGAUUUAGUUCCCCUUUGCUCUUGAGCUUAAUUAAACAAAUAAAUUGAUUUAAUCAUUUGAGCAUCGAAAAGAGGAACACAAGGCACUUAGCCCAUAUUUAUACAUUAGACAUUAAGGUCACAUACAUGUGAAAUCAUGCAUCAACUCAACAUAUUAGCCAAUAUUCAUC
Molecule: long non-coding RNA, 378 nt
Filed under: Gossypium barbadense (sea-island cotton)
Lineage: Eukaryota; Viridiplantae; Streptophyta; Magnoliopsida; Malvales; Malvaceae
Description: long non-coding RNA (GBAR_LNC013436)
Source: RNAcentral